CCUACGGGUGGCAGCAGUGAGGAAUAUUGGUCAAUGGGCGGAAGCCUGAACCAGCCAAGUCGCGUGAGGGACUAAGGCCCUACGGGUCGUAAACCUCUUUAGCCGGGGAUCAGUGCCCAGCUCGCGAGCUGGGAGGGAGCGUACCCGGAGAAAAAGCAUCGGCUAACUCCGUGCCAGCAGCCGCGGUAAUACGGAGGAUGCGAGCGUUAUCCGGAUUUAUUGGGUGUACAGGGCGUGUAGGCGGGAAAGCAAGUCAGAUGUGAAAACCAUGGGCUCAACCUGUGGCCUGCAUUUGAAACUGUUUUUCUUGAGUACUGGAGAGGCAGACGGAAUUCCUAGUGUAGCGGUGAAAUGCGUAGAUAUUAGGAGGAACACCAGUGGCGAAGGCGGUCUGCUGGACAGCAACUGACGCUGAGGCGCGAAAGCGUGGGGAGCAAACAGGAUUAGAUACCCCGGUAGUC
RNAcentral lists this ribosomal RNA (461 nucleotides) under uncultured bacterium. RNAcentral's name for it is "partial 16S ribosomal RNA". It matches the Rfam family "Bacterial small subunit ribosomal RNA", at positions 338 to 795 of the family's 1533-position model. The record is from RNAcentral.